ACGUAGGAGGCAAGCGUUAUCCGGAGUCACUGGGCGUAAAGGGCGUGCAGGCGGUUGGCUAAGUUCGUUGUGAAAGCGCCCGGCUCAACUGGGCGAGGCCGUGUGAGACUGAAAAACUGGAGAGAGGUAGAGGCGAAUGGAAUUCCGGGUGGAGUGGUGAAAUGCGUAGAGAUGCGGAGGAACACCGAUGGCGAAGGCAGCCUCCUGGGAUGACACUGACGCUCAUGCACGAAAGCGUGGGGAGCAAACAG
RNAcentral lists this ribosomal RNA (251 nucleotides) under uncultured prokaryote. Its description in RNAcentral is "partial 16S ribosomal RNA". It matches the Rfam family "Bacterial small subunit ribosomal RNA", at positions 525 to 775 of the family's 1533-position model. The record is from RNAcentral.